Molecule: ribosomal RNA, 1324 nt
Filed under: Bacillus cereus
Lineage: Bacteria; Bacillati; Bacillota; Bacilli; Caryophanales; Bacillaceae
Also listed under: 1 other name
Description: bacterial LSU rRNA
Rfam family: Bacterial large subunit ribosomal RNA
Source: RNAcentral
AAGUCUUUGAUUCCCCGCUGCCAAGAAAAGCUUCUAGCGAGAUAAAAGGUGCCUGUACCGCAAACCGACACAGGUAGGCGAGGAGAGAAUCCUAAGGUGUGCGAGAGAACUCUGGUUAAGGAACUCGGCAAAAUGACCCCGUAACUUCGGGAGAAGGGGUGCUUUCUUAACGGAAAGCCGCAGUGAAUAGGCCCAAGCGACUGUUUAGCAAAAACACAGCUCUCUGCGAAGCCGUAAGGCGAAGUAUAGGGGGUGACACCUGCCCGGUGCUGGAAGGUUAAGGAGAGGGGUUAGCGUAAGCGAAGCUCUGAACUGAAGCCCCAGUAAACGGCGGCCGUAACUAUAACGGUCCUAAGGUAGCGAAAUUCCUUGUCGGGUAAGUUCCGACCCGCACGAAAGGUGUAACGAUUUGGGCACUGUCUCAACCAGAGACUCGGUGAAAUUAUAGUACCUGUGAAGAUGCAGGUUACCCGCGACAGGACGGAAAGACCCCGUGGAGCUUUACUGUAGCCUGAUAUUGAAUUUUGGUACAGUUUGUACAGGAUAGGCGGGAGCCAUUGAAACCGGAGCGCUAGCUUCGGUGGAGGCGCUGGUGGGAUACCGCCCUGACUGUAUUGAAAUUCUAACCUACGGGUCUUAUCGACCCGGGAGACAGUGUCAGGUGGGCAGUUUGACUGGGGCGGUCGCCUCCUAAAGUGUAACGGAGGCGCCCAAAGGUUCCCUCAGAAUGGUUGGAAAUCAUUCGUAGAGUGCAAAGGCAUAAGGGAGCUUGACUGCGAGACCUACAAGUCGAGCAGGGACGAAAGUCGGGCUUAGUGAUCCGGUGGUUCCGCAUGGAAGGGCCAUCGCUCAACGGAUAAAAGCUACCCCGGGGAUAACAGGCUUAUCUCCCCCAAGAGUCCACAUCGACGGGGAGGUUUGGCACCUCGAUGUCGGCUCAUCGCAUCCUGGGGCUGUAGUCGGUCCCAAGGGUUGGGCUGUUCGCCCAUUAAAGCGGUACGCGAGCUGGGUUCAGAACGUCGUGAGACAGUUCGGUCCCUAUCCGUCGUGGGCGUAGGAAAUUUGAGAGGAGCUGUCCUUAGUACGAGAGGACCGGGAUGGACGCACCGCUGGUGUACCAGUUGUUCUGCCAAGGGCAUAGCUGGGUAGCUAUGUGCGGAAGGGAUAAGUGCUGAAAGCAUCUAAGCAUGAAGCCCCCCUCAAGAUGAGAUUUCCCAUAGCGUAAGCUAGUAAGAUCCCUGAAAGAUGAUCAGGUUGAUAGGUUCGAGGUGGAAGCAUGGUGACAUGUGGAGCUGACGAAUACUAAUAGAUCGAGGACUUAACC